UCAAGCGAACAAGGGCGCAGGGCGAAUGCCUUGGCACUGGGAGCCGAUGAAAGACGUGAUAAGCUGCGAUAAGCUUCGGGGAGCUGCAAAUAAGCAUUGAUCCGGAGAUUUCUGAAUGAGGAAACUCACCUGGGUUCAUACUCAGGUACGUUAUACUGAACUUAAAAAUAGGUAUAUCGAGGGAACCGCCUGAACUGAAACAUCUAAGUAGGGCGAGGAAGAGACAUCAAACGAGAUUCCGUAAGUAGUGGCGAGCGAACGCGGAAGAGGGCAAACCGGAAGUAGAAAUACUUCCGGGGUACGGACCGCAUUUAGGACUUGAGUUGUUAACCGAACGGCAUGGGAAGGCCGGUCAGAGAGUGUGAGAACCACGUAGGUGAAAACGACAAGAGCUGAGCGAGUUCCAGAGUACGGCCAGACACGUGAAACCUGGUCGGAAUACGGGGGGACCACCCUCCAACCCUAAAUACUACCCAGUGACCGAUAGCGUAUAGUACUGUGAAGGAAAGGUGAAAAGCACCCCGGGAGGGGAGUGAAAAAGAACCUGAAACCCUGUGCCUACAAGCACCUAGAGCACGUCAAUGUGUGAUAGGGUACUUUUUGUAGAACGGUCCGGCGAGCGAUUGUAUGCAGCAAGGUUAAGGACUUAAGGUCUGGAGCCGAAGCGAAAGCGAGUUUGAAAAGGGCGUUAAGUUGCAUACAAUGGGCCCGAAACCGGGUGACCUACCCAUGGUCAGGUUGAAGUGGAAGUAAAAUUCCAUGGAGGACCGAACCGACCUCCGUUGAAAAGGCGGCGGAUGAACUGUGGGUAGCGGAGAAAUUCCAAUCGAACCCGGAGAUAGCUGGUUCUCCCCGAAAUAGUUUUAGGACUAGCCUCAAGUUAGAUACCUGGAGGUAAAGCACUGAAUAGCCUAGCGGCCGAGAGGUUAGCGAAGCUUAUCAAACUCAGAAUGCCAGAGUAUUGAUGCUUGGGAGUCAGACAGUGUCAGAUAAAUGUCAUUGUCAAAAGGGAAACAGCCCAGAUCUACAGCUAAGGUCCCAAAGUCAGGUUAAGUGGAAAACGAUGUGAAGAUACGUAGACAACCAGGAUGUUGGCUCAGAAGCAGCCACACAUUCAAAGAGUGCGUAAUAGCUCACUGGUCGAGCGUCUUUGCGCGGAGAAUUUAACGGGGCUAAACCUGACACCGAAGCUUAGGCAAUACAGCAAUGUAUUGGGUAGGGGAGCGUUGUAUACGCGGUGAAACAGUAGCGCAAGCGGCUGUGGAGUGUAUAGAAGUGAGAAUGCCGGAAUGAGUAGCGCGAAUGCAGUGAGAAUCUGCAUGGCCGAAAGCCUCAGGUUUCUGGAGGAAGGUUCGUCCGCUCCAGGUUAGUCGGGAGCUAAGGUGAGGCCUAACGGCGUAGCCGAUGCACAGACGGUAGAGAUUCCGUCACCACCAAAAGAGUUAAACACAGGGACACAUUUGAAGUCUCGGAGCCGGGUGUUGGUUCCGGUAGCGAUCGAGGGAAAUUAGUACCGAAGUCCGGGAUGGAAGAUGGCGAGAAAAGCUGUGUGUAUUUCUGCGGUGCCCGUACCGCAAACCGACACAGGUAGGUAGGAAGAAGAUUCUAAGGCCAACGGGAGAAGGGUUGUUAAGGAACUCGGCAAAUUGACCCCGUAACUUCGGGAGAAGGGGUGCUCCAGAGAUGGAGCCGCAGAGAAUCGGCCCAAGCAACUGUUUACCAAAAACACAGGUUUGUGCUAAAUCGAAAGAUGACGUAUACGAGCUGACGCCUGCCCGGUGCUGGAAGGUUAAGAGGAGAUGUGCAAGCAUUGAAUCGAAGCCCCAGUGAACGGCGGCCGUAACUAUAACGGUCCUAAGGUAGCGAAAUUCCUUGUCAGGUAAGUUCUGACCCGCAUGAAAGGCGUAAUGAUUUGGGCACUGUCUCAACAGCCCGCCCGGCGAAAUUGUAGUACCGGUGAAGAUGCCGGUUACCCGCGACAAGACGGAAAGACCCCAUGGAGCUUUACUGUAGCCUAAUAUUGGGUUUCGAUGUUGCAUGCACAGGAUAGAUGGGACACUGGGAAGCAAGAGCUUUGGCUUUUGUGGAGUGGCCGUUGGGAUACCAUCCUUGCGAUAUUGGAAUUCUAACCUGCGCCUUUGAAUCAAGGCGGGGGACAUUGUUAGGUGGGCAGUUUGACUGGGGCGGUCGCCUCCUAAAGAGUAACGGAGGCGUUCAAAGGUUCGCUCAGCUUGAACGGAAAUCAAGCAAAAGAGUGCAAACGCAGAAGCGAGCCUAACUGCGAGACUGACGGGUCGAGCAGUAACGAAAGUUGGAGUUAGUGAUCCGGUGGUAUGUGAGUGGAAAUGCCAUCGCUCAACGGAUAAAAGUUACCCUGGGGAUAACAGGCUGAUCUCCCCCAAGAGUCCACAUCGACGGGGAGGUUUGGCACCUCGAUGUCGGCUCAUCGCAUCCUGGGGCUGUAUUCGGUCCCAAGGGUUUGGCUGUUCGCCAAUUAAAGCGGUACGCGAGCUGGGUUCAGAACGUCGUGAGACAGUUCGGUCCCUAUCUGUCGUGGGCGCAGGAUAUUUGAUGGGAGCUGUUCCUAGUACGAGAGGACCGGAGCGGACGUACCUCUGGCGCACCAGUUGUUCUGCCAAGGGCAUAGCUGGGCAACUAUGUACGGAUCGGAUAAACGCUGAAAGCAUCUAAGCGUGAAGCCGACCCAAAGAUAAGAUAUCCCAUUGUUUCAAACAAGUAAGACCCCUUGAAGACUACAAGGUUGAUAGGCACGAUGUGUAAGUGGAGUGAUCCAUUCAGCAAGCGUGUACUAAUAGGUCGAGGGCUUGACCAC
This 2833-nucleotide ribosomal RNA is filed under the name metagenome. RNAcentral describes it as "bacterial LSU rRNA". It matches the Rfam family "Bacterial large subunit ribosomal RNA". The record is from RNAcentral.